UACAGAGGGGGCUAGCGUUGUUCGGAAUUACUGGGCGUAAAGCGCGCGUAGGCGGACCUGCAAGUCGGGGGUGAAAGCCCGAGGCUCAACCUCGGAACUGCCUUCGAUACUGCGGGUCUCGAGUCCGGGAGAGGUGAGUGGAAUUCCUAGUGUAGAGGUGAAAUUCGUAGAUAUUAGGAAGAACACCAGUGGCGAAGGCGGCUCACUGGCCCGGUACUGACGCUGAGGCGCGAAAGCGUGGGGAGCAAACAGG
This 253-nucleotide ribosomal RNA is filed under the name uncultured bacterium. RNAcentral describes it as "partial 16S ribosomal RNA". It matches the Rfam family "Bacterial small subunit ribosomal RNA", at positions 524 to 776 of the family's 1533-position model. The record is from RNAcentral.